UACAGAGGUCGCAAGCGUUGUUCGGAUUUACUGGGCGUAAAGGUCCCGUAGGCGGCAUGGCGUGUCGGAUGUGAAAGCUCCGGGCUCAACCCGGAAAGUGCGUCCGAAACUACCGUGCUGGAGUGCGGAAGGGGGAAUCGGAAUAUAGGGUGUAGCGGUGAAAUGCGUUGAUAUCCUAUAGAACACCGGAGGCGAAGGCGGAUUCCUUGCACGCAACUGACGCUGAGGCGCGAAAGUCGGGGGAGCAAAC
RNAcentral lists this ribosomal RNA (250 nucleotides) under uncultured prokaryote. Its description in RNAcentral is "partial 16S ribosomal RNA". It matches the Rfam family "Bacterial small subunit ribosomal RNA", at positions 524 to 773 of the family's 1533-position model. The record is from RNAcentral.